AAAAGCAAAGAUAAAAACACAGUUCUGGUUGGUAGUCCAGACGCAGGAUCAUCCUGUCAGUAACCUGCCUCCUAAGGUUGUCCGUUCUUUGUCACUAUUUU
Molecule: non-coding RNA, 101 nt
Organism: Acetobacterium wieringae
Lineage: Bacteria; Bacillati; Bacillota; Clostridia; Eubacteriales; Eubacteriaceae
Source: Rfam